RNAcentral lists this small nuclear RNA (169 nucleotides) under Salvator merianae (Argentine black and white tegu). Its description in RNAcentral is "U2 spliceosomal RNA (ENSSMRG00000007263.1)". The stretch from base 1 to 114 matches the Rfam family "U2 spliceosomal RNA". From Rfam's summary of the family: U2 is a small nuclear RNA (snRNA) component of the spliceosome (involved in pre-mRNA splicing). The record is from RNAcentral. Lineage: Eukaryota; Metazoa; Chordata; Lepidosauria; Squamata; Teiidae.
AUUGCUUCUCAGCCUUUUGGCUAAGAUCAAGUGUAGUAUCUGUUCUUAUCAGUUUAAUAUCUGAUAUGUCUUCUAUUUGAGGACUCUAUAUUAAAUGGAUUUUUGGGACUUUAAAAAAAAAAGAAGAAAAAGAAAAAAAAGCAAUCCAGUAACGCCUGUGCCAGAGCAU